UGGGGAAUCUUGCGCAAUGGGCGAAAGCCUGACGCAGCCACGCCGCGUGAGGGAUGAAGGCUUUCGGGUUGUAAACCUCUUUCAGCAGGGACGAAAAUGACGGUACCUGCAGAAGAAGCUCCGGCCAACUACGUGCCAGCAGCCGCGGUAACACGUAGGGAGCAAGCGUUGUCCGGAUUUAUUGGGCGUAAAGAGCUCGUAGGCGGUUCAGUAAGUCAGGUGUGAAAGUCCAAGGCUCAACCUUGGAACGCCACUUGAUACUGCUGUGACUGGAGUCCGGUAGAGGAGUGUGGAAUUCCUGGUGUAGCGGUGAAAUGCGCAGAUAUCAGGAGGAACACCGACGGCGAAGGCAGCACUCUGGGCCGGUACUGACGCUGAGGAGCGAAAGCAUGGGGAGCGAACAGGAUUAGAUACCCCCGUAGUCC
RNAcentral lists this ribosomal RNA (425 nucleotides) under uncultured prokaryote. RNAcentral describes it as "bacterial SSU rRNA". It matches the Rfam family "Bacterial small subunit ribosomal RNA", at positions 355 to 796 of the family's 1533-position model. The record is from RNAcentral.